GACGAACGCUGGCGGCGUGCUUAACACAUGCAAGUCGAGCGGUAAGGCCCUUCGGGUACACGAGCGGCGAACGGGUGAGUAACACGUGGGUGACCUGCCUCUAGCUCUGGGAUAAGCCUGGGAAACUGGGUCUAAUACCGGAUAUGACUCCACGGCGCAUGUUGUGGGGUGGAAAGCCUUGUGUGGCUAGAGAUGGGCCCGCGGCCUAUCAGCUUGUUGGUGGGGUGGAUGGCCUACCAAGGCGACGACGGGUAGCCGGCCUGAGAGGGCGACCGGCCACACUGGGACUGAGACACGGCCCAGACUCCUACGGGAGGCAGCAGUGGGGAAUCUUGCGCAAUGGGCGAAAGCCUGACGCAGCGACGCCGCGUGAGGGAUGACGGCCU
This 386-nucleotide ribosomal RNA is filed under the name uncultured bacterium. Its description in RNAcentral is "bacterial SSU rRNA". It matches the Rfam family "Bacterial small subunit ribosomal RNA", at positions 28 to 417 of the family's 1533-position model. The record is from RNAcentral.